Molecule: ribosomal RNA, 485 nt
Filed under: uncultured bacterium
Lineage: Bacteria
Description: bacterial SSU rRNA
Rfam family: Bacterial small subunit ribosomal RNA
Source: RNAcentral
GAUGAACGCUAGCUACAGGCUUAACACAUGCAAGUCGAGGGGCAGCAGGAUCUAGCAAUAGAUUGCUGGCGACCGGCGCACGGGUGAGUAACACGUAUCCAACCUGCCGAUAACUCGGGGAUAGCCUUUCGAAAGAAAGAUUAAUACCCGAUGGUAUAAUCAGACCGCAUGGUUUGAUUAUUAAAGAAUUUCGGUUAUCGAUGGGGAUGCGUUCCAUUAGGCAGUUGGUGAGGUAACGGCUCACCAAACCUUCGAUGGAUAGGGGUUCUGAGAGGAAGGUCCCCCACAUUGGAACUGAGACACGGUCCAAACUCCUACGGGAGGCAGCAGUGAGGAAUAUUGGUCAAUGGACGCGAGUUUGAACCAGCCAAGUAGCGUGAAGGAUGACUGCCCUAUGGGUUGUAAACUUCUUUUAUAUGGGAAUAAAGUUUUCCACGUGUGGAAUUUUGUAUGUACCAUAUGAAUAAGGAUCGGCUAACUCCGUG